This is a non-coding RNA of Cricetulus griseus (Chinese hamster), 299 nucleotides long. NCBI's taxonomy places the organism in Eukaryota, Metazoa, Chordata, Mammalia, Rodentia, Cricetidae. The record is from Rfam.
GGAUGUGAGGGUGAUCUGACUGCAGCAUCUAUCACCCCAUUGAUCUCCAGGGUUGAUUUGUAUGAUCUGGCUUGCUAGGCAGCUUUCCCCUUCCUCCCUCCCAAAGCUCCAGGCUUCAUAGAAGAGGACUACCUUCUCUGAAUAGAGGAUUAGAGGAGGGGCAUCUUUGGUCAAGGAUAUACAAGUAGCUGCACUCCCCUGCUAGAGCGUCCAAACAAGCUCUCAAAAAAAAAAACACAUAGUUUUAUGUACAUUCUUACACACCUGUGCUUUUUGGUUUAUUUGAGACAAGGUUUUGC